UACAGAGGUCCCAAGCGUUGUUCGGAUUUACUGGGCGUAAAGGGUGCGUAGGCGGUUCGAUAAGUCUGACGUAAAAUCUCCAAGCUUAACUUGGAAACUGCGGUGGAUACUGACGAGCUAGAGUUUUUGAGAGGAAGCCGGAAUUCUCGGUGUAGCAGUGAAAUGCGUAGAUAUCGAGAGGAACAUCAGUGGCGAAAGCGGGCUUCUGGAAAAAUACUGACGCUAAGGCACGAAAGCUAGGGGAGCAAACGGG
RNAcentral lists this ribosomal RNA (253 nucleotides) under uncultured bacterium. Its description in RNAcentral is "partial 16S ribosomal RNA". It matches the Rfam family "Bacterial small subunit ribosomal RNA", at positions 524 to 776 of the family's 1533-position model. The record is from RNAcentral.